This 446-nucleotide ribosomal RNA is filed under the name uncultured bacterium. Its description in RNAcentral is "partial 16S ribosomal RNA". It matches the Rfam family "Bacterial small subunit ribosomal RNA", at positions 28 to 507 of the family's 1533-position model. The record is from RNAcentral.
GACGAACGCUGGCGGCAUGCCUAACACAUGCAAGUCGGACGGGAUCUUCGGGGAACGGUGCUUCCAGUGGAGGACGGGUGAGUAACGCGCAAGUACCUGCCCUUGGGCGGGGAACAACAGCUGGUAACGGCUGCUAAUACCUCGUAGGCUGAGGUGCAUCAGGAUGAAUCCGCCCGAGGAGGGGCUCGCGUCUGAUUAGCUAGUUGGGGCGGCAAUAGCUUACUAAGACGAUGAUCAGUAGCUGGUCCGAGAGGAGGAUCAGCCACACAGGGACUGAGACACGGGCCAGACUCCUAUGGGAGGCGGAGGUGUGGGGUAUUCCGCAAAGUGGGAAAGCGUGACGGAGAGAUAUCGCGUGGGGAUGAAGGACCCACGAGUCGUGAACAACUCUUCCCGGGGAGAAGACAAUGACGGUACCUGGAGAAGAAGCAUCGGCUAACUCUGUG